RNAcentral lists this ribosomal RNA (376 nucleotides) under uncultured bacterium. RNAcentral describes it as "bacterial SSU rRNA". It matches the Rfam family "Bacterial small subunit ribosomal RNA", at positions 523 to 898 of the family's 1533-position model. The record is from RNAcentral.
AUACGGAGGGUGCAAGCGUUGUUCGGAAUUACUGGGCGUAAAGGGCGCGUAGGUGGUUGUGUAAGUCAGAUGUGAAAUCUCCCGGCUCAACCGGGAAACUGCAUCUGAUACUGCAUGACUAGAGUACAGGAGAGGGAAACGGAAUUCCCGGUGUAGAGGUGAAAUUCGUAGAUAUCGGGAGGAACACCGGUGGCGAAGGCGGUUUCCUGGCCUGAUACUGACGCUGAGGCGCGAAAGCGUGGGUAGCAAACAGGAUUAGAUACCCUGGUAGUCCACGCCGUAAACGGUGAGUACUGGGUGUGGGAGGUGUAAUGCCUUCUGUGCCGAAGCUAACGCGUUAAGUACUCCGCCUGGGGAGUACGGCCGCAAGGUUGAA